Molecule: ribosomal RNA, 401 nt
Filed under: uncultured bacterium
Lineage: Bacteria
Description: bacterial SSU rRNA
Rfam family: Bacterial small subunit ribosomal RNA
Source: RNAcentral
GGGCCCGCACAAGCGGUGGAGUAUGUGGUUUAAUUCGAUGCAACGCGAAGAACCUUACCAGGGUUUGACAUCCUGCGAAUCUCUUGGAAACGAGAGAGUGCCUUCGGGAACGCAGUGACAGGUGGUGCAUGGCUGUCGUCAGCUCGUGUCGUGAGAUGUUGGGUUAAGUCCCGCAACGAGCGCAACCCACGUCUUUAGUUGCCAGCAUUUAGUUGGGCACUCUAAAGAAACUGCCCGUGAUAAGCGGGAGGAAGGUGUGGAUGACGUCAAGUCCUCAUGGCCCUUACGGGUUGGGCUACACACGUGCUACAAUGGUAGUGACAAUGGGCUAAUCCCAAAAAACUAUCUCAGUUCGGAUUGUCGUCUGCAACUCGACGGCAUGAAGUCGGAAUCGCUAGUAA